AUGGAGUUCGAGCUCGGGAAGGUGCACGAGGAGGUCGUCCGCGAGGAGGUGCUGCUCGUUGGCGAGCAGAUGAGGUACGAUGUUGGAGGCGACCAAGGGGUCGUCUCCCCGGCAGCGAGCUGGACGCGCGGCGCACCCUCGUUCCUCCCUCUUUCCUGCUUUAGGGUCGUCGGAUUGGAUGCCCUCGGUGACUUGUCAGGGUACAUAUAUAGACUGAGGCUUGUGUCUCCUGGGUGCAUUUCCUAUAAAAUUAGCUCUCAUCACCAUAACAAAGUUUCUUCCAAUGAAUAUGUGAACCUGGAGAAGACUCACUAUGAAGGUCUCCUGACAACUAAAGUUUUACCUGCUAUUAAAAUGGCCGAAGCAGAGUUCAAUGAGCAUAUGGUAAAGAAAGGUAUCAAUGGAUUCACCAAUGUAGAUUACAAGAGUAAAGGUUUAUCUAAUGAGGCCUUGUCGCGGCGCUACAAGUGUUGCCCCCCUCCUCCCUAA
Molecule: ribosomal RNA, 489 nt
Filed under: Triticum aestivum (bread wheat)
Lineage: Eukaryota; Viridiplantae; Streptophyta; Magnoliopsida; Poales; Poaceae
Description: partial small subunit ribosomal RNA
Source: RNAcentral